This 497-nucleotide ribosomal RNA is filed under the name uncultured bacterium. RNAcentral describes it as "partial 16S ribosomal RNA". It matches the Rfam family "Bacterial small subunit ribosomal RNA", at positions 28 to 507 of the family's 1533-position model. The record is from RNAcentral.
GAUGAACGCUGGCGGCGUGCCUAAUACAUGCAAGUCGAGCGAACAGACGAGGAGCUUGCUCCUCUGACGUUAGCGGCGGACGGGUGAGUAAAACGUGGAUAACCUACCUAUAAGACUGGGAUAACUUCGGGAAACCGGAGCUAAUACCGGAUAAUCUAUUGAACCGCAUGGUUCAAUAGUGAAAGACGGUUUUGCUGUCACUUAUAGAUGGAUCCGCGCCGCAUUAGCUAGUUGGUAAGGUAACGGCUUACCAAGGCAACGAUGCGUAGCCGACCUGAGAGGAUGAUCGGCCACACUGGAACUGAGACACGGUCCAGACUCCUACGGGAGGCAGCAGUAGGGAAUCUUCCGCAAUGGGCGAAAGCUUGACGGAGCAACGCCGCGUGAGUGAUGAAGGUCUUCGGAUCGUAAAACUCUGUUAUUAGGGAAGAACAAAUGUGUAAGUAACUAUGCACGUCUUGACGGUACCUAAUCAGAAAGCCACGGCUAACUACGUG